RNAcentral lists this ribosomal RNA (325 nucleotides) under Clostridium estertheticum. RNAcentral's name for it is "bacterial SSU rRNA". It matches the Rfam family "Bacterial small subunit ribosomal RNA", at positions 1 to 315 of the family's 1533-position model. The record is from RNAcentral. Lineage: Bacteria; Bacillati; Bacillota; Clostridia; Eubacteriales; Clostridiaceae.
UUUAAAUUGAGAGUUUGAUCCUGGCUCAGGACGAACGCUGGCGGCGUGCCUAACACAUGCAAGUCGAGCGAUGAAACCCUUCGGGGUGGAUUAGCGGCGGACGGGUGAGUAACACGUGGGUAACCUGCCUCAAAGAGGGGAAUAGCCUCCCGAAAGGGAGAUUAAUACCGCAUAAUAUGUUUUGAUCGCAUGAUUGAGACAUCAAAGGAUUCUCUUUAGAGUUUCCACUUUGAGAUGGACCCGCGGCGCAUUAGCUAGUUGGUGAGGUAACGGCCCACCAAGGCAACGAUGCGUAGCCGACCUGAGAGGGUGAUCGGCCACAUUG